UACGAAGGGGGCUAGCGUUGCUCGGAAUUACUGGGCGUAAAGGGCGCGUAGGCGGUCAUUUUAGUCAGGCGUGAAAUUCCCGGGCUUAACCUGGGGACUGCGCUUGAUACUGGGUGACUAGAGGGUGGAAGAGGGUCGUGGAAUUCCCAGUGUAGAGGUGAAAUUCGUAGAUAUUGGGAAGAACACCGGUGGCGAAGGCGGCGACCUGGUCCAUUACUGACGCUGAGGCGCGACAGCGUGGGGAGCAAACAGGAUUAGAAACCCCAGUAGUCC
RNAcentral lists this ribosomal RNA (273 nucleotides) under uncultured Roseomonas sp. RNAcentral describes it as "partial 16S ribosomal RNA". It matches the Rfam family "Bacterial small subunit ribosomal RNA", at positions 524 to 796 of the family's 1533-position model. Lineage: Bacteria; Pseudomonadati; Pseudomonadota; Alphaproteobacteria; Acetobacterales; Roseomonadaceae. The record is from RNAcentral.